Long non-coding RNA from Prinia subflava (tawny-flanked prinia), 2929 nucleotides. RefSeq lists it as uncharacterized. NCBI's taxonomy places the organism in Eukaryota, Metazoa, Chordata, Aves, Passeriformes, Cisticolidae. The transcript has 3 exons. The record is from RefSeq and is a predicted model, not a curated record.
AAAAGAAACCGAGACACUGUGGCCGAGCCCAGCGCUGUCUCUGUGACUGUGACAUGAAAAGAUGGCGCUCUCUCCCCUCCCCCAGCCUCCCUCUCGGUUUACACUUCCUCCCCAACAGCUUUUGCCUUCCAGUUUUUUAAAGCCCUCUUUGCUCCUUCCUUCCCCCCCUCUCCCCCGGCCGGAUACCACCAGCUUCCCAGCCGGUCGGCAGAGAAGCCACGAGUACGUGAUCUCGCUGAACCUGUCGGUUGUGCUCUCUGGAGCAGCAGGGAAACCGGACACCUUUAUCAGUGACCCCCGGAGCCGUUCUCCCGGGCGUUCGCUGUGUUUAUCGCCACCUAACCCUGGGCAGCCCGCGAGUGCCGUGUCACGGCCCCCUGCCCCGCCCGGGGAUGUCCGUGCGGCUGGCGGUGCCCCGCGGUGUCACCCCGCCUCUCCGGGAAGGAGCAGGCGUGUAUGGCCUCCCCAGGCAUGUCCCUUCUCCGGCGUCUACUUCAUCUAUUCGUUAUCAGGGGACAGCGUGUGGAGUGACUGAGCCUAAUAAGUUGUCCACUUGUUCAUUUCAGGAGCAUUGAUUUCUGGUUCCAAGGCACUCUGUUCUAGCUCUGGCUACAGCUGCGGGGCAUUCGCAGCUGGUCUUUCGCCUAGACAAAUAUCAGCGAGAAUGUGAGCGUUAUUAGCCACAUAAAUAAAUCAUUAACGUGCACACAAAUGUUAUUUUAGCAUAACUUCCAGGGAGAAAAUAUCCUGGCGGGGUAAGGCGGCCAGGCGUGCUACGUCGGACCGGCCUCGUCGCGGGCUGCCCGGCAGCGGCGGGCGGGGGUCGGCGCCCCCCGGCACGGAGAGGCACGGUUCCCCGGCUCCCGAUUGAACAUUAACAGGGCCGGCCGGCGCGGCACGGCCGCAGGGCCUCGCUUCGCAGACCUUUGUCUGCUCUCCCGAGGCCGGGCGGGGACGCCGGGCGCUUUACUGCCCAAACGCGACGGCACUAAUGAGAUUACCGGCCGGCUGGCCGCGGCUGGGGCUGGGGAGCGCCGAGGCGGCGGGCAGAGCCCCGGCCCGGCCGCUGCGCCCCGUUCCAGGGCAGGAACGGCGCUGGCCUCGGGCCUCCCGCAAAGGGCCGCCGGCUCCCCCCGUGCCCCGGCGGCGGCGAGCGGGGAGCGGCAGCCGCCGCCGCCCGGGCCGCGCUCGCCCUACCCCGCGGAAUCCCGCGGGUGCCAGUAAAGCCCUGCCUGGGAGCCCUGCCAAGGCGGUCUCGCUUUGAUAUUCCGCGCCACGGCCGCUCCUCCGCUUGCUCCUAAUCACGCAAAUGCGAGCUUGCCCCGGCACUCUCCAUAAUAAACACUGAGCGCGUUUCGCCGGGCGCCCUAAGUAAAUACUGUAUGGGAGAAGCGGGGCUGCGCUGGGAGGCUGAAAUCUUCCACUUUUUUUGCACUUAGCAACAGACUGAGGCGUCGUGCGCGCCCUCCCCGAGCCAGGCUCGGUGUGAUUUACUUUCUGGUUGCAAUGCAGAUAUUCACUUGUCAGUUCAAGGGCAGGACAGAAACUGUGCAAGCGGAGUCUUGUGAACGGAAAUCUCCCAUUUACGAGGUUCUGCUCCAGCACCAAAAGCCACCCUCCAGCACCUUUGUUCUGCAUGCAGCUGCUCUUACACACACACCCCUCCGCCCUCCACCCAGCCACAUCACCAUCCAACCCUUCUUCCCGCGUCUCACUCAGAUGGAUUCUCAGUUUUUUUCCCGACUGACCCUGGGAGAGGCGGCGGGGGGGAGCAAGGGGGAGGGAGCCCGGGAGAGGUUGAUGAUGAAUGACAAGGCAAAUGAUAAGAGCCGAAGCGACAGCGAAAGCAAACAGAAGUGGUCUCGCGCAGGGCCCAGAACCGUCCGCGGCCACGGGAGUUGUGCCUGUGCCAUGAAGGCAGGGUUGUCCUCCGCAGGCAGCCCGGCUUCUCCGGGGCGAGAUAAACACAUUUCGGUCACGUGGCGAGCCUAUACGGUGCCAUGCUCCUAUUUGCCUUCCCCGCUCGCUUUUCGCUUUUCACAAUAACAUGCCAUCCGCCAGCCAGCUCCGAGGCUAACCUCACCUUCCUGGCGCCCGGCCAGCCCGCCCGGGCCCGGCUGUGGAGGGAGAAGCCGCGACUCCCGUGGGGAGGUUGCAUCCCGGCCUGGGGCUGGCAGCAGCCCAAGCCAGAGCCGUGGAAGCGUCCGGCUGCAUCCCGGUUUGGGGCUGGAAUGGGAGCUGGCUGCACGGGGGGGAGCAGGGUCCAGGACUGGCCACAUCCCCGGGACAGGGCUCAGGAGGAGCGCGGUGUCCCCGCAGGGUGGAGUUUCUCCCGGGCACCGCAGCAUUGUAUCCCUGACCCCUGUAGUCCAAUCGUCCCUUCCUGCGCUGCCUCCGCUGCUCCCCAACCCCGAAGGCCUCGAAGGCCUCGUCGUUUCCACUCCACCUUCACUGCUGACACUCCGUCACCAUAGUCACAGACUCCACCUUCGCUGCUGCCACUCCAUCACAGACCCCGCCUUUACUGCUGUCAUUCUGUCUUCAUGGCUACCCUUCACAGCCUGUCAUGCAGCUGCCAGCUCCACCCUUAAUGUAAAGACCUCACAGCUCCCAGGGGACACUGCUCUACCCAGAAGCCCAGUAGAGGGGAAUAAACCUCCUGGGCAGCUAACCAGAGCAAAAUAAGAACCUGCGAGGAGCACCACCGAGCUGAGCAAACUACCUAGCUGCCGACGAGAGUCGCUUCCUGCCUCGCCCUCACUUGCAACGCACUGGAAGACCAAGACACCCCUAGACUAAACCAGCCAUAAUAAGCUUCUUCGCGCUUUCGCGAGGACAGGAGCCCCCGACCUCACAGCAGCAGUGAUCGGUAGCAGCGGGUUCGACGGAUCCUCUUCCGCGGCGCAGACUCCGAGGGAGCAGCAGCAGC